GACGAGGGAUCCUAGCGUUGUUCGGAAUCAUUGGGCGUAAAGCGGAUGUAGGUGGCUUUGUAAGUCAGAUGUGAAAGCCCCGGGCUCAACCCGGGAAGUGCAUUUGAUACUGCGAAGCUUGAGUGCUAGAGAGGUUACUAGAAUACCUGGUGUAGUGGUGAAAUACGUAGAUAUCAGGUGGAAUACCGGAGGCGAAGGCGGGUAACCAGCUAGACACUGACACUCAGAUCCGAAAGUGUGGGGAUCAAACAGG
RNAcentral lists this ribosomal RNA (253 nucleotides) under uncultured bacterium. RNAcentral describes it as "partial 16S ribosomal RNA". It matches the Rfam family "Bacterial small subunit ribosomal RNA", at positions 524 to 776 of the family's 1533-position model. RNAcentral also lists the same sequence under 1 other name. The record is from RNAcentral.